AAGACAAACUAGGUCCAAAUGCUUGACCUGCUGCACAAGGCCUGGGAAGAGCCUGGGAAGAGCCUGGGAAGAGCCUGGGAAGAGCCUGGGAAGAGCUGAGCAGCUGAGUGGCCGGGCCAGGGUGAGGUUCUGUACCUUCUCUCUGCUCCUUUCACCCUCCUGCUCAGCCACCUCAGUUGAGACUGGCUCCCAGCGGAGCAUGCAACUUCUUCCUGUCAAAACUAGGCCUAGAAAGAAGGCCUGGUAAAGCCAUCCAUGCUGAGUCACCAUGCAUCUCCGGCACUGCAGGGAUGACCUUUGAUGAGAACAUCAAACAUCUGAAGGUGAAGCUCUUCAUGAAUGUGAGAGCCAGCCAAGCGGCCGUCCUGGAUCCCCAGGCCCAGUGACGGGCCCUGUUCUGUGGAGUAACGCGGAACAGAAAGAUGCCUGCAUGUCCUGUCUUUCCAUCAAGUUGGAGGACCUUGUGAAUUCCUGAGAAAG
Molecule: long non-coding RNA, 480 nt
Filed under: Equus caballus (horse)
Lineage: Eukaryota; Metazoa; Chordata; Mammalia; Perissodactyla; Equidae
Description: lncRNA (ENSECAG00000059821.1)
Source: RNAcentral